This 253-nucleotide ribosomal RNA is filed under the name uncultured bacterium. RNAcentral's name for it is "partial 16S ribosomal RNA". It matches the Rfam family "Bacterial small subunit ribosomal RNA", at positions 524 to 776 of the family's 1533-position model. The record is from RNAcentral.
UACAGAGGGGGCAAGCGUUGUUCGGCAUUACUGGGCGUAAAGGGCGCGUAGGCGGCCUUCUAAGUCAGACGUGAAAUCCCUCGGCUCAACCGGGGAACUGCGUCUGAGACUGGAAGGCUUGAAUCCGGGAGAGGGAUGUGGAAUUCCUGGUGUAGCGGUGAAAUGUGUAGAGAUCAGGAGGAACACCGGUGGCGCAGGCGGCCCGCUGGACGGAGACUGACGCUGAGGCGCGAAAGCGUGGGGAGCAAACGGG